CCUACGGGGAGCAGCAGUAGGGAAUCUUCCACAAUGGGCGCAAGCCUGAUGGAGCAACACCGCGUGAGUGAAGAAGGGUUUCGGCUCGUAAAGCUCUGUUGUUGGAGAAGAACGUGCGUGAGAGUAACUGUUCACGCAGUGACGGUAUCAAAACAGAAAGUCACGGCUAACUACGAGCCAGCAGCCGCGGUAAUACGUAUGUGGCAAGCAUGAUCCGGAUUUAUUGGGCGUAAAGCGAGCGCAGGCGGUUGCUUAGGUCUGAUGUGAAAGCCUGCGGCUUAACCGAAGAAGGGCAUCGGAAACCGGUCGACUUGAGUGCAGAAGAAGACAGUGGAACUCCAUGUGUAGCGGUGGAAUGCGUAGAUAUAUGGAAGAACACCAGUGGCGAAGGCGGCUGUCUGGUCUGCAACUGACGCUGAGGCUCGAAAGCAUGGGUAGCGAACAGGAUUAGAUACCCGUGUAGUC
RNAcentral lists this ribosomal RNA (465 nucleotides) under uncultured bacterium. RNAcentral's name for it is "partial 16S ribosomal RNA". It matches the Rfam family "Bacterial small subunit ribosomal RNA", at positions 338 to 795 of the family's 1533-position model. The record is from RNAcentral.